AGAGUUUGAUCCUGGCUCAGAGUGAACGCUGGCGGCAGGCCUAACACAUGCAAGUCGAGCGGCAGCGCGGGGGCAACCCUGGCGGCGAGCGGCGGACGGGUGAGGAAUUCGUCGGAAUCUGCCUUUUUGUGGGGGAUAACGUAGGGAAACUUACGCUAAUACCGCAUACGUCCUACGGGAGAAAGUGGGGGACCGCAAGGCCUCACGCAGAAAGAUGAGCCGACGACCGAUUAGCUAGUUGGUGGGGUAAAGGCCCACCAAGGCGACGAUCGGUAGCUGGUCUGAGAGGAUGAUCAGCCACACUGGGACUGAGACACGGCCCAGACUCCUACGGGAGGCAGCAGUGGGGAAUAUUGGACAAUGGGCGCAAGCCUGAUCCAGCCAUGCCGCGUGUGUGAAGAAGGCCUUCGGGUUGUAAAGCACUUUUGUCCGGAAAGAAAUCCCUGGAGCUAAUACCUUCGGGGGAUGACGGUACCGGAAGAAUAAGCACCGGCUAACUUCGUGCCAGCAGCCGCGGUAAUACGAAGGGUGCAAGCGUUACUCGGAAUUACUGGGCGUAAAGCGUGCGUAGGCGGUUCGUUAAGUCUGAUGUGAAAUCCCCGGGCUCAACCUGGGACGUGCAUUGGAAACUGGCGAUCUAGAGUACGGUAGAGGGUGGUGGAAUUCCCGGUGUAGCAGUGAAAUGCGUAGAGAUCGG
Molecule: ribosomal RNA, 697 nt
Filed under: uncultured bacterium
Lineage: Bacteria
Description: bacterial SSU rRNA
Rfam family: Bacterial small subunit ribosomal RNA
Source: RNAcentral